GGAACGCCACAGUGGACAAAAAUCCCAAUCAAUGAUAUACGUAUAGAAAGGUGGUGUGGUGAUGCGCGAAGUGCAUUGCCUCAUUAAUGCACCAAUUUCAUAAUCGAUUUCCAAUUUCAGUGAUCGAUUUUCUAGGACUUCAUGAUGUAUUCACGUGAUCAUCACCCCGCCUAAGUAGGCGUGUCGUCUUUUAAGUAAAUUAUAAACAAGAUGGCGACGACAUGUUUAUCAUGAGGUGUAAUGGUUAUUUUUUUGUAAUUCUACAAGUAAUAGCCCUUGUGUAAUUCUUUAGAUGUGUGGGGGGGGGGGUCUGAAGCACUCAUUUUGAGGUCAUUCUUUCCAAGGGAAAAGACACAAGAAGUGAAAAGAUCAUGAGAUAGCAUUCAAAGAAUGAAGAAUGGCCCAGAGACCCCAUAAA
Amphimedon queenslandica is the source of this 418-nucleotide long non-coding RNA. RefSeq lists it as uncharacterized. The record is from RefSeq and is a predicted model, not a curated record. The transcript has 2 exons. Lineage: Eukaryota; Metazoa; Porifera; Demospongiae; Haplosclerida; Niphatidae.